UACAGGGGGGGGCAAGCGUUGUUCGGAAUUACUGGGCGUAAAGGGUCUGUAGGUGGCCAACUAAGUCAGACGUGAAAUCCCUCAGCUUAACUGGGGAACUGCGUCUGAUACUGGAUGGCUUGAGUGUGGGAGAGGAAUGCGGAAUUCCAGGUGUAGCGGUGAAAUGCGUAGAUAUCUGGAGGAACACCGGUGGCGAAGGCGGGUCUCUGGGCCGAUACUGACGCUGAGGAGCGAAAGCGUGGGGGAGCGAACAGGG
Molecule: ribosomal RNA, 256 nt
Filed under: uncultured bacterium
Lineage: Bacteria
Description: partial 16S ribosomal RNA
Rfam family: Bacterial small subunit ribosomal RNA
Source: RNAcentral